This 501-nucleotide ribosomal RNA is filed under the name uncultured bacterium. RNAcentral's name for it is "bacterial SSU rRNA". It matches the Rfam family "Bacterial small subunit ribosomal RNA", at positions 29 to 524 of the family's 1533-position model. The record is from RNAcentral.
AUUGAACGCUGGCGGCGUGCCUAACACAUGCAAGUCGAGCGGCAGCGCGGGAGCAAUCCUGGCGGCGAGCGGCGGACGGGUGAGUAACGCUUGGGAAUCUGCCUGUUAGUGGGGGACAACCCGGGGAAACUCGGGCUAAUACCGCAUACGCACUACGGUGGAAAGCCGGGGACCGCAAGGCCUGGCGCUAACAGAUGAGCCCAAGUCGGAUUAGCUAGUUGGUAGGGUAACGGCCACCAAGGCGACGAUCCGUAACUGGUCUGAGAGGGCGACCAGUCACACCGGAACUGAGACACGGUCCGGACUCCUACGGGAGGCAGCAGUGGGGAAUAUUGGACAAUGGGGGAAACCCUGAUCCAGCGACGCCGCGUGGGUGAAGAAGGCCUGCGGGUUGUAAAGCCCUUUCAGUGGGGAAGAAAAGACCUCGACCUAACACGUCGGGGUCUUGACGUAACCCAUAGAAGAAGCACCGGCUAACUCUGUGCCAGCAGCCGCCGUAAG